AGAGUUUGAUCCUGGCUCAGGGUUAACGCUGGCGGCGUGCGUAACACAUGCAAGUCGAACGGGCCAUUACUCUUUGGAGUGAUGGUUAGUGGCGAACGGGUGAGUAAAAGGUAGGGACCUACCCCGAGGACAGAGAUAGCUACUGGAAACGGUAGGUAAACUCUGAUAAGCCCGAGAGGGGAAAGUGGAAGGCAGCCUUGGGAUGGACCUACUAUCCAUCAGGUAGUUGGUGAGGUAAGGCUCACCAAGCCGAUGACGGAUAACCGGUGUGAGAGCAUGUACGGUCACAAGGGCACUGAGACACGGGCCCUACUCCUACGGGAGGCAGCAGUGGGGAAUAUUGGACAAUGGGCGAAAGCCUGAUCCAGCGACGCCGCGUGAAGGAAGAAGUCCUUCGGGAUGUAAACUUCUGAACUAAUCGAAUAAAAGGGUAGUGGACACACUACAGAAGAAGGUAGAUUAGGAAAAGUCCCGGCUAACUACGUGCCAGCAGCCGCGGUAAGACGUAGGGGGCGAGCGUUGCCCGGAAUCACUGGGUGUAAAGGGGACGUAGGCGGAUGAUCAAGUCAUCUGUGAAAAGAUUGCUCAACGAUUGGCUUGCGGAUCCCAGGAUACAGCAUGUUCUCUCAGUGCUGAAGGAUAUUGAUCUGGAGCACCCGAAGCUCAGCAGGGCGCUCGAGAUCAUCGAGGAUCAGCUUGAGACAUCUCCGGAGUCGAGGAUAAUCGUGUUCACAAACUACCGCGACACAGCGACAGCGCUUCUCAGGUUUCUUCAAGCGAACGCCUCUGAUGCUGUGAAACCCGUUCGCUUUGUCGGCCAGGCGAGCAGGGAGAAUGAUGAGGGGCUGAGCCAUAAUCAAACUCUAAUCACUAGUGAAUUC
This 881-nucleotide ribosomal RNA is filed under the name uncultured Petrotoga sp. Its description in RNAcentral is "bacterial SSU rRNA". The stretch from base 2 to 657 matches the Rfam family "Bacterial small subunit ribosomal RNA", at positions 9 to 873 of the family's 1533-position model. Lineage: Bacteria; Thermotogati; Thermotogota; Thermotogae; Petrotogales; Petrotogaceae. The record is from RNAcentral.